This 153-nucleotide non-coding RNA is filed under the name Heterosigma akashiwo. The record is from RNAcentral. Lineage: Eukaryota; Raphidophyceae; Chattonellales; Chattonellaceae.
GGAUUAUGAAAGCAAAUAAAGGAGGAGAGGCCACGUCCAAACAAAGCAGCCGGCUUCACCAAGAAGAAGUAGUUCAGAAAUAUCCUGUUUUCUUGAUUUGAGAAUAAAUCUUUUGCUUUUUCCUUUUUUAAUCUUUGUUAGUUUGCUAUUUGG